Non-coding RNA from Dermacentor andersoni, 72 nucleotides. The record is from the annotation of a RefSeq genome assembly. Lineage: Eukaryota; Metazoa; Arthropoda; Arachnida; Ixodida; Ixodidae.
GGGGGUGUAGCUCAGUGGUACAGCGCUCGCUUUGCAUGUGAGAAGGCCCGGGUUCAAACCCCGCCACCUCCA